GAGUUUGAUCGUGGCUCAGGAUGAACGCUGGCGGCGUGCCUAAUACACGCAAGUCGAGCGAACAGACGGGGAGCUUGCUCCCCUGACGUUAGCGGCGGACGGGUGAGUAACACGUGGGUAACCUACCUAUAAGACUGGAAUAACUCCGGGAAACCGGGGCUAAUGCCGGAUAACAUGUUGGACCGCAUGGUCCUACAGUGAAAGACGGUCUUGCUGUCACUUAUAGGUGGACCCGCGCCGUAUUAGCUAGUUGGUAAGGUAACGGCUUACCAAGGCAACGAUACGUAGCCGACCUGAGAGGGUGAUCGGCCACACUGGAACUGAGACACGGUCCAGACUCCUACGGGAGGCAGCAGUAGGGAAUCUUCCGCAAUGGGCGAAAGCCUGACGGAGCAACGCCGCGUGAGUGAUGAAGGCCUUC
Molecule: ribosomal RNA, 421 nt
Filed under: uncultured microorganism
Description: bacterial SSU rRNA
Rfam family: Bacterial small subunit ribosomal RNA
Source: RNAcentral